This 273-nucleotide long non-coding RNA is filed under the name Rattus norvegicus (Norway rat). RNAcentral describes it as "long non-coding RNA NONRATT007514". Lineage: Eukaryota; Metazoa; Chordata; Mammalia; Rodentia; Muridae. The record is from RNAcentral.
GCCGGAGACCGGAGCAAUGUCUGUGUUGUCCCCACAGUAGACACUCCUUGCUUCCUCUGGACAACUGGAGCAGGCCUAGUUUGACUGACAAGCCUUCCCACUAAGAAGUGAAUUUUCCCCACUGGCAAACGCAGCCAGUCAGUCUCCUGAGUCAAGAGCCACUGUGGUCUCGAAAUUGAUCUCACUGGUCCCGGGAACUCCCAUCACCUCCUCCAGACUGAGCUCCUCACAGGCGGGAACAUGGUUGUUUCUCAAUAAACAAGUUGAAAAAGG